This is an RNA transcript of Macrosteles quadrilineatus (aster leafhopper), 651 nucleotides long. RefSeq lists it as uncharacterized. The transcript is spliced from 3 exons. Lineage: Eukaryota; Metazoa; Arthropoda; Insecta; Hemiptera; Cicadellidae. The record is from RefSeq and is a predicted model, not a curated record.
GCUACCUAUAAAUUUAUCUUUUUUAUUUCCAUCAAAAAUUAAUAUCUAUCCAACCUUUACAAACUUAAUGAGUAGCCCAUAAGUAGUUUUAGACACUUAUCUGUUCAGCACAUUACCCUAAUUGAACAGCUAUACUGGCAUUUUUUAGGAUUUAACAUUUACAAUGAAGUUUGCAGCUGUAAUAAUUAUUUUAGUAGUCAUCGCCUCCUCAUCUCACCAAAAGCCAACGAAGCCUCCUACUAAUACGGCAGUCCUAAGCGAGUUUAGAGCAAAGCUGCAACAGAGUAUUUUUGAGAUGUUAGACGAUUUGAUUAAAAAAGGAGAAAAGCAUACAACAAUGGAGGUUGGGGAGAAGAAUCAUCAAGUUGUUAGAAAGGUUAUACAUAGCCAAACACGCUACAAAGAUAUUACAUUUGACGAGUUUGACAAGAUUGGUCAACUAAUAGGAGAAACGCCCGAAUACAAAGCUAAGGUGAAAAGCCUUUUGAAACCUGACGAAAAUGGUGUCGCUCCUAGAUGUCUCCCUCCUAUUCUCAUGUCCUGAACGGUCAAAAAAUCAAGUAUAAAAGCAGAUGGCUGAACAACUUUACAAAUUAUGUUGUCAAAGGAAGCUCAUUAAAAUAAAGUGUUAUUAUGAAUUUGUAUAAAGAU